AGAGUUUGAUCCUGGCUCAGGAUGAACGCUGGCGGCGUGCUUAACACAUGCAAGUCGAGCGAAGCACUUUUGCGGAUUUCUUCGGAUUGAAGCAACUGUGACUGAGCGGCGGACGGGUGAGUAACGCGUGGGUAACCUGCCUCGUACAGGGGGAUAACAGUUGGAAACGGCUGCUAAUACCGCAUGAGCGCACAGGACCGCAUGGUACCGAGUGAAAAACUCCGGUGGUAUGAGAUGGACCCCCGUCUGAUUAGCUAGUUGGUGGGGUAACGGCCUACCAAGGCGACGAUCAGUAGCCGACCUGAGAGGGUGACCGGCCACAUUGGAACUGAGACACGGUCCAAACUCCUACGGGAGGCAGCAGUGGGGAAUAUUGCACAAUGGGGGAAACCCUGAUGCAGCGACGCCGCGUGAAGGAAGAAGUAUCUCGGUAUGUAAACUUCUAUCAUUAGGGAAGAAAAGAAUGACGGUACCUAACUAAAAACAACCGGCUAAAUACGUGCCAGCAGCCGCGGUAAUACGUAUGGUUCAAGCGUUAUCCGGAUUUACUGGGUGUAAAGGGUGAGUAGGCGGUUAUGCAAGUCAUAUGUGAAAUGUCGGGGCUCAACUCCGGCCUGCAUAAGAAACUGUAUAACUAGAGUGCAGGAGAGGCAAGCGGAAUUCCUAGUGUAGCGGUGAAAUGCGUAGUUAUUAGGAACAACACCGGUGGCGAAGGCGGCUUGCUGGACUGUUACUGACGCUGAGUCACGAAAGCGUGGGGAGCAAACAGGAUUAGAUACCCUGGUAGUCCACGCCGUAAACGAUGAGUGCUAGGUGUUGGCGAGGAAUCGUCGGUGCCGCAGCAAACGCAAUAAGCACUCCACCUGGGGAGUACGGCCGCAAGGUUGAAACUCAAAGGAAUUGACGGGGGCCCGCACAAGCGGUGGAGCAUGUGGUUUAAUUUGAAGCAACGCGAAGAACCUUACCUAAACUUGACAUCCCGAUGACCGUCUAUGUAAUGUAGACUCUCUUCGGAGCAUCGGAGACAGGUGGUGCAUGGUUGUCGUCAGCUCGUGUCGUGAGAUGUUGGGUUAAGUCCCGCAACGAGCGCAACCCUUCUCGUUAGUAGCCAUCAUUAAGUUGGCCACUCUAGCGAGACUGCCGUGGAUAACACGGAGGAAGGUGGGGAGGACGUCAAAUCAUCAUGCCCCUUAUGUUUAGGGCUACACACGUGCUCCAAUGGCUGUCACAAAGUGAAGCGAACCUGUGAAGGCAAGCCAACCCCAAAAAGGCAGUCCCAGUUCGGAUUGUAGUCUGCAACUCGACUACAUGAAGUUGGAAUCGCUGGUAAUCGCGAAUCAGAAUGUCGCGGUGAAUACGUUCCCGGCUCUUG
This 1372-nucleotide ribosomal RNA is filed under the name uncultured bacterium. Its description in RNAcentral is "16S ribosomal RNA". It matches the Rfam family "Bacterial small subunit ribosomal RNA", at positions 8 to 1383 of the family's 1533-position model. The record is from RNAcentral.